RNAcentral lists this ribosomal RNA (424 nucleotides) under uncultured bacterium. Its description in RNAcentral is "bacterial SSU rRNA". It matches the Rfam family "Bacterial small subunit ribosomal RNA", at positions 917 to 1344 of the family's 1533-position model. The record is from RNAcentral.
GGGCCCGCACAAGCGGUGGAGCAUGUGGUUUAAUUCGAUGCAACGCGAAGAACCUUACCAGGGUUUGACAUCCUGCGAAUCUCUUGGAAACAGGAGAGUGCCUUCGGGAACGCAGUGACAGGUGGUGCAUGGCUGUCGUCAGCUCGUGUCGUGAGAUGUUGGGUUAAUCCCGCAACGAGCGCAACCCCUACUUUUAGUUGCCACCAUUUAGUUGGGCACUUUAAAAGAACUGCCAGUGAUAAGCUGGAGGAAGGUGGGGAUGACGUCAAGUCCUCAUGGCCCUUAUGUGUUGGGCUACACACGUGCUACAAUGGCACUUACAAUGGGAUGCAAAGAGGUGACUCUAAGCUAAUCCCAAAAAUGUGUCUCAGUUCGGAUUGUACUCUGUAACUCGAGUGCAUGAAGCUGGAAUUGCUAGUAAUCG